Molecule: ribosomal RNA, 482 nt
Filed under: uncultured bacterium
Lineage: Bacteria
Description: bacterial SSU rRNA
Rfam family: Bacterial small subunit ribosomal RNA
Source: RNAcentral
AUGAACGCUAGCGGCAGGCUUAACACAUGCAAGUCGAGGGGCAGCACUUGUAGCAAUACAUGGUGGCGACCGGCGCAAGGGUGCGUAACGCGUGAGCAACAUGCCCGUAUCAGGGGGAUAAUCCAGGGAAACUUGGUCUAAUACCCCAUAGCAAUUAUUUGAGGCAUCUUAAAUAUUUAAAGCUUUGGUGGAUACGGAUUGGCUCGCGUGACAUUAGCUAGAUGGUAAGGUAACGGCUUACCAUGGCUACGAUGUCUAGGGGUUCUGAGAGGAAGAUCCCCCACACUGGAACUGAGACACGGUCCAGACUCCUACGGGAGGCAGCAGUGAGGAAUAUUGGACAAUGGAUGGAAAUCUGAUCCAGCCAUGCCGCGUGCAGGAAGACGGCCCUAUGGGUUGUAAACUGCUUUUGUGUGGGAGCAAUAAGGUCUAUGCGUAGACUGAUGAGAGUACCAUACGAAUAAGCAUCGGCUAACUCCGUG